This 2542-nucleotide ribosomal RNA is filed under the name Staphylococcus aureus. RNAcentral describes it as "partial 23S ribosomal RNA". It matches the Rfam family "Bacterial large subunit ribosomal RNA", at positions 24 to 2564 of the family's 2925-position model. Lineage: Bacteria; Bacillati; Bacillota; Bacilli; Caryophanales; Staphylococcaceae. The record is from RNAcentral.
GUGGAUGCCUUGGCACUAGAAGCCGAUGAAGGACGUUACUAACGACGAUAUGCUUUGGGGAGCUGUAAGUAAGCUUUGAUCCAGAGAUUUCCGAAUGGGGAAACCCAGCAUGAGUUAUGUCAUGUUAUCGAUAUGUGAAUACAUAGCAUAUCAGAAGGCACACCCGGAGAACUGAAACAUCUUAGUACCCGGAGGAAGAGAAAGAAAAUUCGAUUCCCUUAGUAGCGGCGAGCGAAACGGGAAGAGCCCAAACCAACAAGCUUGCUUGUUGGGGUUGUAGGACACUCUAUACGGAGUUACAAAGGACGACAUUAGACGAAUCAUCUGGAAAGAUGAAUCAAAGAAGGUAAUAAUCCUGUAGUCGAAAAUGUUGUCUCUCUUGAGUGGAUCCUGAGUACGACGGAGCACGUGAAAUUCCGUCGGAAUCUGGGAGGACCAUCUCCUAAGGCUAAAUACUCUCUAGUGACCGAUAGUGAACCAGUACCGUGAGGGAAAGGUGAAAAGCACCCCGGAAGGGGAGUGAAAUAGAACCUGAAACCGUGUGCUUACAAGUAGUCAGAGCCCGUUAAUGGGUGAUGGCGUGCCUUUUGUAGAAUGAACCGGCGAGUUACGAUUUGAUGCAAGGUUAAGCAGUAAAUGUGGAGCCGUAGCGAAAGCGAGUCUGAAUAGGGCGUUUAGUAUUUGGUCGUAGACCCGAAACCAGGUGAUCUACCCUUGGUCAGGUUGAAGUUCAGGUAACACUGAAUGGAGGACCGAACCGACUUACGUUGAAAAGUGAGCGGAUGAACUGAGGGUAGCGGAGAAAUUCCAAUCGAACCUGGAGAUAGCUGGUUCUCUCCGAAAUAGCUUUAGGGCUAGCCUCAAGUGAUGAUUAUUGGAGGUAGAGCACUGUUUGGACGAGGGGCCCCUCUCGGGUUACCGAAUUCAGACAAACUCCGAAUGCCAAUUAAUUUAACUUGGGAGUCAGAACAUGGGUGAUAAGGUCCGUGUUCGAAAGGGAAACAGCCCAGACCACCAGCUAAGGUCCCAAAAUAUAUGUUAAGUGGAAAAGGAUGUGGCGUUGCCCAGACAACUAGGAUGUUGGCUUAGAAGCAGCCAUCAUUUAAAGAGUGCGUAAUAGCUCACUAGUCGAGUGACACUGCGCCGAAAAUGUACCGGGGCUAAACAUAUUACCGAAGCUGUGGAUUGUCCUUUGGACAAUGGUAGGAGAGCGUUCUAAGGGCGUUGAAGCAUGAUCGUAAGGACAUGUGGAGCGCUUAGAAGUGAGAAUGCCGGUGUGAGUAGCGAAAGACGGGUGAGAAUCCCGUCCACCGAUUGACUAAGGUUUCCAGAGGAAGGCUCGUCCGCUCUGGGUUAGUCGGGUCCUAAGCUGAGGCCGACAGGCGUAGGCGAUGGAUAACAGGUUGAUAUUCCUGUACCACCUAUAAUCGUUUUAAUCGAUGGGGGGACGCAGUAGGAUAGGCGAAGCGUGCGAUUGGAUUGCACGUCUAAGCAGUAAGGCUGAGUAUUAGGCAAAUCCGGUACUCAUUAAGGCUGAGCUGUGAUGGGGAGAAGACAUUGUGUCUUCGAGUCGUUGAUUUCACACUGCCGAGAAAAGCCUCUAGAUAGAAAAUAGGUGCCCGUACCGCAAACCGACACAGGUAGUCAAGAUGAGAAUUCUAAGGUGAGCGAGCGAACUCUCGUUAAGGAACUCGGCAAAAUGACCCCGUAACUUCGGGAGAAGGGGUGCUCUUUAGGGUUAACGCCCAGAAGAGCCGCAGUGAAUAGGCCCAAGCGACUGUUUAUCAAAAACACAGGUCUCUGCUAAACCGUAAGGUGAUGUAUAGGGGCUGACGCCUGCCCGGUGCUGGAAGGUUAAGAGGAGUGGUUAGCUUCUGCGAAGCUACGAAUCGAAGCCCCAGUAAACGGCGGCCGUAACUAUAACGGUCCUAAGGUAGCGAAAUUCCUUGUCGGGUAAGUUCCGACCCGCACGAAAGGCGUAACGAUUUGGGCACUGUCUCAACGAGAGACUCGGUGAAAUCAUAGUACCUGUGAAGAUGCAGGUUACCCGCGACAGGACGGAAAGACCCCGUGGAGCUUUACUGUAGCCUGAUAUUGAAAUUCGGCACAGCUUGUACAGGAUAGGUAGGAGCCUUUGAAACGUGAGCGCUAGCUUACGUGGAGGCGCUGGUGGGAUACUACCCUAGCUGUGUUGGCUUUCUAACCCGCACCACUUAUCGUGGUGGGAGACAGUGUCAGGCGGGCAGUUUGACUGGGGCGGUCGCCUCCUAAAAGGUAACGGAGGCGCUCAAAGGUUCCCUCAGAAUGGUUGGAAAUCAUUCAUAGAGUGUAAAGGCAUAAGGGAGCUUGACUGCGAGACCUACAAGUCGAGCAGGGUCGAAAGACGGACUUAGUGAUCCGGUGGUUCCGCAUGGAAGGGCCAUCGCUCAACGGAUAAAAGCUACCCCGGGGAUAACAGGCUUAUCUCCCCCAAGAGUUCACAUCGACGGGGAGGUUUGGCACCUCGAUGUCGGCUCAUCGCAUCCUGGGGCUGUAGUCGGUC